UACGUAGGGUGCGAGCGUUAAUCGGAAUUACUGGGCGUAAAGCGUGCGCAGGCGGGCUUUUAAGCCAGACGUGAAAUCCCCGGGCUUAACCUGGGAAUGGCGUUUGGGACUGGAAGUCUGGAGUGCGGCAGAGGAGACUGGAAUUCCUGGUGUAGCAGUGAAAUGCGUAGAUAUCAGGAGGAACACCAAUUGCGAAGGCAGCUCGCUGGGACGUUACUGACGCUGAGACGCGAAAGCGUGGGGAGCAAACAGG
Molecule: ribosomal RNA, 253 nt
Filed under: uncultured bacterium
Lineage: Bacteria
Description: partial 16S ribosomal RNA
Rfam family: Bacterial small subunit ribosomal RNA
Source: RNAcentral